Long non-coding RNA from Corythoichthys intestinalis (scribbled pipefish), 3308 nucleotides. RefSeq lists it as uncharacterized. The record is from RefSeq and is a predicted model, not a curated record. NCBI's taxonomy places the organism in Eukaryota, Metazoa, Chordata, Actinopteri, Syngnathiformes, Syngnathidae. The transcript is spliced from 10 exons.
GGAUUCAUAAACACAUAGCAUGCGAAACACACACACAUUGUGGGAUUCGUACACACAUUGUGGGAUUCGUAAACACAUAGCACGCGAAACACACACACAUCGUGGGAUUCGUACACACAUAGCACGCGAACCACACACAUUGUGGGAUUCGUAAACACAUAGCACGCGAAACACACACACAUCGUGGGAUUCGUAAACACAUAGCACGCGAAACACAAACACAUUCACCAAAUGUGUGUGUGAAUUGUUUUACGCGCAUUUGUAACGUGCUUCCAAUUACAAAUUCCCACUUACGAAUACAAAUUCCCACUUACGAAUGUGUGGAUCGUUUUGAUACCCGUCAUGCGCAACUGAGAAGAACACAUGCAUUUUUUUAACUGGAGCCCGUCUUCAGCCAAUCAGACGUCUUCUUCUUAAACAGCCAAUCACAAGGGCUGGGCUGUUUCGUUACGUCACUGCUGUGCGCCUUCAAGUCCGGCUGGAGAUUCCUUUUAGACUACAACGCAGUUCAUGCGGUUGUCGUGCGGUUGGUGUACAACAUGGAGAAGAGGUUCCAGGAGAUUUUCAAUUUUAUGUCUAGGGGUGAAUUCCCUAAUUUAUAGUGAAUCUCAGAAAUGUGCUUUAAGAAGAUAUAUGCAGAAGCUCAAACUGAAGGUCCCAAAGAGAAGCACGAUCACUGUUUAAUGAAGUACACUCGGCUUCAAUUGGUGCACACACAGGCACUGUUAAAACCAGAUCCUCAAUGUACUCCAGAAAUUAUUGGGAUGGCAUGACGGUGGACAUUGACUGAUGGGUCUCUGAAUGCGACGGAUGUCAGAGGACUGGUAACUCUUUGGCUGUGUGUGACACAGCCAUUACAAAGCAUUAAGGUGUCUGCUGUUUGGGAGUUGGUUGGGAUAGACCUGACUGGGCCUCUCCCAAAAACCAAGGAUGGCUUUCAGUACAUUCUUACUGCCACCGAUUAUUUUUCCAAACACAGAUGCCCCCAAAGAAUCCUGUCCGACCAAGGAAGAGAAUUUGUCAAUUAGCUCAACGAUAACCUUUGUGCCUCCUGUGCAUUGAAAGGAGUGUUACAGCUGCAUAUCAUCCUAAGACGAAUGGGCUGGAUGAGAGGACAAAUAGCAAACAUAAAACGGCAAGUUGUUGUUGGUGUUCUAAAAUGUAUAUCUAAUUGUACCCUUCUACUUCGUACAGCUCUUACAAAAUUGGUGAACGACCGACAGGAUUUGUUUGGUGGUUUGGCCUAUUCAGUAGAUAAUUUUGACCGGAUGGUCAUCUGGUCAAGUGCCGUAAAUAAUAACUUUUUUGAUUUAACAAUGUUGUGUUUUCAGUUAAAUUACUGUGGGCUGCAGAGGAUCAAGGCAAGGUGGAGGCUGUCGUUGGACCGUAUAAAUUAUAUGACACAUCUUUUCAUACGCUAAAAGGCAACGGCUGGCUGUCUGAUGAAGUCAGUGGGAGCAAUAAGUGUUUAGCAAAUAACAAAGAUUCUUGCCUUUUGCCAAUUUUUUUAUUUUGCUAUGCAAGUAUUUGAUGCAUACAUGCAUAUCCUCAUUGAAAGGCAGCAGCCAAGUGCUGGAUAUAGUUUUUCUCAAUGCAUUUAUUUUUUGCCGGAGUAUAGUUGUAAUGUUGUUACCCCUUUUUUUAACAGGAGCCCAUUCACCAACUCUCUGCUGUGGUAGCUGGGAGUCUGCUUUUGGGAAAAUUUCAGCCUGUUAGAAAGGUAAUCCAUUUCAUGCCAAUAUUUAGCUAUAUUAUUUUAACGCCAGUAACCCAAAAUAACAAUAAUUUGGUAUUGUAUGUUCUUCAGAGGAAAUUCCCUGUUGAAAAAAAAAGUGUAUUUGUCCUGUCCUGUCCUGUAUGCGCUCAUUGGAUUUUAGUGAAUUACACAAAGGAACUAACCUUUUAUAGAUUGUCCACAUUUCUAAGAGAACACUGGUGAUCAACGAUCCCUUGAGUGACGAGGACAAAUAUGAGCAAAAUCUUGCGGAAUUGGAGGAACUUCUUGAGGUUGGCGGGCCGUGAGUUCCAAAUAGAAACUUGGACUACCAAAACUGUGGCCCAUAACAAGCAGCAGAACAACAGUAGCUGUGGGGUUUUCACAUUAAAGUUUGCGGAAGAGUAUAUGGCCAAUGGAGAUCUCAGGCACAACCAGACCCACCUUCCCGAAGUUCUGAAGGCUCGAGGAGAUCUAGCCUGUGCCCUCCUACAGGCUGGGAGUCUGAGAUGUCUAUUUAAAUUUAAAAAAUGUCUCAAAACUUACUUGGUCUCCUCACCUCACAUAAUUGAACUCCUGAUUGCUCUCAAUGUCACUAUUUACUUUCAAAGGCAUCCAAAGAACAGAUCUGAGGAUUUGCUGCUGCGCUUUAUCCUCUCUUGCCAUCAUUGAUCACUUAUUAGGUUUGUCGCAAUAAAAAAAAGUGUUUAAAAAGGUAGUAAAAUUCAUGUGGCAGGUCUUAACCCCUUAAUGCCUGCAAUAUGAAGCAAUUGUCAGAGAAUCACAAAAUGUGAAAAAUAAGGUCUUAAACCUUUUUUUUUCCAAAUUUGUAAAGAAAAAUGUGUAAUAAGCGCUCUAAUAUCUAUUUUCCUUGUUAAAUCCUGUUUUUCUCAUGGAACAUGCAGAUGCAUGAGUUGACUUGCAUCCAUUUUUUUUUUUUUUUUUUUUUGAGGAAAGAGUUCUAAAUCCUAAGUGUAUCAAAUGUGAUUCAUUUGGCAAGAAAGCUCUGUUGCUCCAAGUCUUUCAAAAAAUAUAUUUUUUUAUAUCCGUAAUAGACUACCAUCCUUUAAAUACUGUCACUGUAGGUAGCAUUUUUAACAGGCUUAUAAUGUCUAUUUUUUUCCUUUUAAAAUGGUCUUAAAUUGGUUUAAGCAUAGACAUCACAAUCAUACAUUAAGAAGUCUGAAUUUUCCCAAGUAUGACUUUCAAAUAGGCUUGAAAUGGAGAAAGUAAUCUUAAAAAGAUUUAUUUAGCGGAAAAAAAGCCUGUUAAAAAUGUGCCACAUAUAGUACAGUAUUAGACAUCUAAUCUUGCUCUCAUCAUCCCUCUGCUGAGCGGUUCAAUGAGUUUUUCACCAGUUGACAUCCAAUACAUUUGAAGUGCAUGGGAGGUCCUCCCACUCAAAAUGGAUGGGACGUCUUCAGCUGUCAAUGACAGAGAAAGGCAAAACCGUUAAACGUAUGCUACACGUACGCUACAUUUGUUCGACGGGACACCUUGCAUCGAUAGUCCCCGCGGUCGAGUUGAGCUGUCAAAAACGGGGCUCCUACUUUUACAAAAGCUCCCCAUUUGUCACUUGUCACUCAGUACACCG